CGCUAGCCCCUGGCUUAACACAUGCAAGUCGAGGGGCAGCGGGAUUGAACCUUGCUUCAAUUGCCGGCGACCGGCGCACGGGUGAGUAACACGUAUCCAACCUUCCGUUUACUCGGGGAUAGCCUUUCGAAAGAAAGAUUAAUACCCGAUAGUAUGGUGAGAUUGCAUGAUAACACCAUUAAAGAUUCAUCGGUAAACGAUGGGGAUGCGUUCCAUUAGGUAGUAGGCGGGGUAACGGCCCACCUAGCCUACGAUGGAUAGGGGUUCUGAGAGGAAGGUCCCCCACAUUGGAACUGAGACACGGUCCAAACUCCUACGGGAGGCAGCAGUGAGGAAUAUUGGUCAAUGGGCGAGAGCCUGAACCAGCCAAGUAGCGUGAAGGAUGAAGGUCCUACGGAUUGUAAACUUCUUUUAUAAGGGAAUAAAACGCUCCACGUGUGGAGCCUUGUAUGUACCUUAUGAAUAAGCAUCGGCUAACUCCGUGCCAGCAGCCGCGGUAAUACGGAGGAUGCGAGCGUUAUCCCGAUUUAUUGGGUUUAAAGGGAG
RNAcentral lists this ribosomal RNA (546 nucleotides) under uncultured Bacteroides sp. RNAcentral describes it as "bacterial SSU rRNA". It matches the Rfam family "Bacterial small subunit ribosomal RNA", at positions 34 to 569 of the family's 1533-position model. Lineage: Bacteria; Pseudomonadati; Bacteroidota; Bacteroidia; Bacteroidales; Bacteroidaceae. The record is from RNAcentral.